AGAGUUUGAUCAUGGCUCAGGACGAACGCUGGCGGCGUGCGUAAUACAUGCAAGUAGAACGCUGAAGAGAGGAGCUUGCUCUUCUUGGAUGAGUUGCGAACGGGUGAGUAACGCGUAGGUAACCUGCCUUGUAGCGGGGGAUAACUAUUGGAAACGAUAGCUAAUACCGCAUAACAAUGGAUGACACAUGUCAUUUAUUUGAAAGGGGCAAUUGCUCCACUACAAGAUGGACCUGCGUUGUAUUAGCUAGUAGGUGAGGUAAUGGCUCACCUAGGCGACGAUACAUAGCCGACCUGAGAGGGUGAUCGGCCACACUGGGACUGAGACACGGCCCAGACUCCUACGGGAGGCAGCAGUAGGGAAUCUUCGGCAAUGGGGGCAACCCUGACCGAGCAACGCCGCGUGAGUGAAGAAGGUUUUCGGAUCGUAAAGCUCUGUUGUAAGUCAAGAACGGGUGUGAGAGUGGAAAGUUCACACUGUGACGGUAGCUUACCAGAAAGGGACGGCUAACUACGUGCCAGCAGCCGCGGUAAUACGUAGGUCCCGAGCGUUGUCCGGAUUUAUUGGGCGUAAAGCGAGCGCAGGCGGUUUGAUAAGUCUGAAGUUAAAGGCUGUGGCUCAACCAUAGUUCGCUUUGGAAACUGUCGAACUUGAGUGCAGAAGGGGAGAGUGGAACUCCAUGUGUAGCGGUGAAAUGCGUAGAUAUAUGGAGGAACACCGGUGGCGAAAGCGGCUCUCUGGUCUGUAACUGACGCUGAGGCUCGAAAGCGUGGGGAGCGAACAGGAUUAGAUACCCUGGUAGUCCACGCCGUAAACGAUGAGUGCUAGGUGUUGGAUCCUUUCCGGGAUUCAGUGCCGCAGCU
RNAcentral lists this ribosomal RNA (863 nucleotides) under uncultured bacterium. RNAcentral's name for it is "bacterial SSU rRNA". It matches the Rfam family "Bacterial small subunit ribosomal RNA", at positions 8 to 853 of the family's 1533-position model. The record is from RNAcentral.